UCCAGAGUCCCUCCACACUUCAUCUUUACCGACUAAUCGUCCUCAUGGGAGUAUUAUGUCUGGUUUCAUGCUUGGGGCUUUGGGCUUUGGAGAUUACAGAUUACAGAGCUCCAGACUCAGCUCCACCACUGGUUCACAGGUCUCUAAACCAGAGGAAGCUAGUCUAAAUUCAGUGGAAGCCAGAGCUGGGAGGAGGAAAAAAUUGUCCCAGUGAAGAGCUUAGCUCCAACCCACAGAUCUCAGAUGAUAUCAGCAAUGCUGCCGAGUUAGAAGAGACCAAGCGAAAUAUGAUUACAUCGUGUUCUAAAAGCUGACAGCCAGUCUAAUAAAUCAGAACCAAAGUGGAGGGCA
This 351-nucleotide long non-coding RNA is filed under the name Mus spicilegus (steppe mouse). Its description in RNAcentral is "lncRNA (ENSMSIG00000016128.1)". The record is from RNAcentral. Lineage: Eukaryota; Metazoa; Chordata; Mammalia; Rodentia; Muridae.